CACGGAGUUAGCCGGGGCUUAUUCUCCCGGUACUGUCAUUAUCAUCCCGGGUAAAAGAGCUUUACAACCCUAAGGCCUUCAUCACUCACGCGGCAUUGCUGGAUCAGGCUUUCGCCCAUUGUCCAAUAUUCCUGG
RNAcentral lists this ribosomal RNA (135 nucleotides) under uncultured bacterium. RNAcentral describes it as "partial 16S ribosomal RNA". The record is from RNAcentral.